GCUCGAUUAGGGUAGCCUGGAUAUCCUGCGGGCUUGCGGAGCCUGUGACCCGGGUUCGAAUCCCGGAUCGAGCA
The sequence is a transfer RNA, 74 nucleotides long. It matches the Rfam family "tRNA". From Rfam's summary of the family: Transfer RNA (tRNA) molecules are approximately 80 nucleotides in length. Their secondary structure includes four short double-helical elements and three loops (D, anti-codon, and T loops). The record is from Rfam.